GAGCCAAAGCAGAAAAACAGGGGACGCCGCCCUUCUUCCGUCCCGUGCGUGAGGGGGGCGCGGCCAUUCGGUUUUUGCAAUAUGACCUGUGGGCCAAAAAUCGAAAAAAAAAAAAAUAAGAGGCGGCUGCGGAAUUUUAUAAGACAAGCGCAGGGCCAAAGAAAAAAUAAUAAUUGACGUGGCUGAACAACAGUCUCUCCCCACCCCUUUCCAAAAAGGGGAAUGAAAUACGAGUUCUUUUUCCCAAUUGGUAAAUAUUCAACAAGAGACGCGCAGUACGUAACAUGCGAAUUGCGUAAUUCACG
This is a non-coding RNA of Saccharomyces cerevisiae S288C, 305 nucleotides long. Lineage: Eukaryota; Fungi; Ascomycota; Saccharomycetes; Saccharomycetales; Saccharomycetaceae. The record is from RefSeq.